This 77-nucleotide ribozyme is filed under the name Crocodylus porosus (Australian saltwater crocodile). RNAcentral describes it as "Mammalian CPEB3 ribozyme (ENSCPRG00005005946.1)". It matches the Rfam family "Mammalian CPEB3 ribozyme". Rfam says of the family: The mammalian CPEB3 ribozyme is a self cleaving RNA located in the second intron of the CPEB3 gene which belongs to a family of genes regulating messenger RNA polyadenylation. This ribozyme is highly conserved and found only in mammals. The record is from Rfam by way of RNAcentral. Lineage: Eukaryota; Metazoa; Chordata; Crocodylia; Crocodylidae.
GGUUGCAACUUUGAGGCCAUAGCUGAGAUGUUCAUGGCGUGGCCCUGUCAGAUUCCAAUGCAUCUGCUAAUUCUGCU